Molecule: ribosomal RNA, 334 nt
Filed under: Dyadobacter soli
Lineage: Bacteria; Pseudomonadati; Bacteroidota; Cytophagia; Cytophagales; Spirosomataceae
Description: bacterial SSU rRNA
Rfam family: Bacterial small subunit ribosomal RNA
Source: RNAcentral
UUACAAUGGAGAGUUUGAUCCUGGCUCAGGAUGAACGCUAGCGGCAGGCUUAAUACAUGCAAGGCGAAGGGGCAGUAAUGUCACUGUCGUACGGGUGCGUAACGCGUAUGCAACCUACCUAUCACUGGGGGAUAGCCCGGGGAAACCCGGAUUAAUACCGCAUAAAACAGGGGCACCGCAUGGUGAUAUUUGUUAAAGAUUUAUUGGUGAUAGAUGGGCAUGCGUUCGAUUAGCUAGUUGGCGGGGUAACGGCCCACCAAGGCGACGAUCGAUAGGGGAGCUGAGAGGUUGAUCCCCCACACGGGCACUGAGAUACGGGCCCGACUCCUACGGG